GAUUGAACGCUGGCGGCAGGCCUAACACAUGCAAGUCGAACGGUAACAGGAAGAAGCUUGCUUCUUUGCUGACGAGUGGCGGACGGGUGAGUAAUGUCUGGGAAACUGCCUGAUGGAGGGGGAUAACUACUGGAAACGGUAGCUAAUACCGCAUAACGUCGCAAGACCAAAGAGGGGGACCUUCGGGCCUCUUGCCAUCGGAUGUGCCCAGAUGGGAUUAGCUAGUAGGUGGGGUAACGGCUCACCUAGGCGACGAUCCCUAGCUGGUCUGAGAGGAUGACCAGCCACACUGGAACUGAGACACGGUCCAGACUCCUACGGGAGGCAGCAGUGGGGAAUAUUGCACAAAGGGCGCAAGCCUGAUGCAGCCAUGCCGCGUGUAUGAAGAAGGCCUUCGGGUUGUAAAGUACUUUCAGCGGGGAGGAAGGGAGUAAAGUUAAUACCUUUGCUCAUUGACGUUACCCGCAGAAGAAGCACCGGCUAACUCCGUG
This 491-nucleotide ribosomal RNA is filed under the name uncultured bacterium. RNAcentral's name for it is "partial 16S ribosomal RNA". It matches the Rfam family "Bacterial small subunit ribosomal RNA", at positions 27 to 507 of the family's 1533-position model. The record is from RNAcentral.